Molecule: ribosomal RNA, 253 nt
Filed under: uncultured bacterium
Lineage: Bacteria
Description: partial 16S ribosomal RNA
Rfam family: Bacterial small subunit ribosomal RNA
Source: RNAcentral
UACGGAGGGUGCAAGCGUUAUCCGGAUUCACUGGGUUUAAAGGGUGCGUAGGUGGGCAGGUAAGUCAGUGGUGAAAUCUCCGAGCUUAACUCGGAAACUGCCGUUGAUACUAUUUGUCUUGAAUAUUGUGGAGGUAAGCGUAAUAUGUCAUGUAGCGGUGAAAUGCUUAGAUAUGACAUAGAACACCAAUUGCGAAGGCAGCUUACUACACAACGAUUGACGCUGAGGCUCGAAAGCGUGGGGAUCAAACAGG